Molecule: ribosomal RNA, 497 nt
Filed under: uncultured bacterium
Lineage: Bacteria
Description: partial 16S ribosomal RNA
Rfam family: Bacterial small subunit ribosomal RNA
Source: RNAcentral
GAUGAACGCUGGCGGCGUGCCUAAUACAUGCAAGUCGAGCGAACAGACGAGGAGCUUGCUCCUCUGACGUUAGCGGCGGACGGGUGUGUAACACGUGGAUAACCUACCUAUAAGACUGGGAUAACUUCGGGAAACCGGAGCUAAUACCGGAUAAUAUAUUGAACCGCAUGGUUCAAUAGUGAAAGUCGGUUUUGCUGUCACUUAUAGAUGGAUCCGCGCCGCAUUAGCUAGUUGGUAAGGUAACGGCUUACCAAGGCAACGAUGCGUAGCCGACCUGAGAGGGUGAGCGGCCACACUGGGACUGAGACACGCUCCAGACUCCUACGGGAGGCAGCAGUAGGGAAUCUUCCGCAAUGGGCGAAAGCCUGACGGAGCAACGCCGCGUGAGUAAUGAAGGUCUUCGGAUCGUAAAACUCUGUUAUUAGGGAAGAACAAAUGUGUAAGUAACUAUGCGCGUCUUGACGGUACCUAAUCAGAAAGCCACGGCUAACUACGUG